GACGAACCGAGCGAACGUUGUUCGGAAUCACUGGGCUUAAAGGGCGCGUAGGCGGGCGGCCGCGUCCGGGGUGAAAUCCUCCGGCUCAACCGGGGAAGGGCCUCGGGUACGGGCGGCCUCGAGGGGGGUAGGGGCGUGCGGAACUGUGGGUGGAGCGGUGAAAUGCGUUGAUAUCUACAGGAACUCCGGUGGCGAAAGCGGCGUGCUGGACCUUUUCUGACGCUGAGGCGCGAAAGCUAGGGGAGCAAACGGG
Molecule: ribosomal RNA, 253 nt
Filed under: uncultured bacterium
Lineage: Bacteria
Description: partial 16S ribosomal RNA
Rfam family: Bacterial small subunit ribosomal RNA
Source: RNAcentral